CCUACGGGUGUCAGCAGUGAGGAAUAUUGGUCAAUGGGCGCGAGCCUGAACCAGCCAAGUCGCGUGAGGGAGGACGGCCCUACGGGUUGUAAACCUCUUUUGCCGGGGAGCAACGGGCGCCACGUGUGGCGUCACUGAGAGUACCCGGCGAAAAAGCAUCGGCUAACUCCGUGCCAGCACACGGGGUAAUACGGGGGAUGCCAGCGUUCUCCGGAUUUUUGUGGUUUAAAGGGGUCGUAGGCGGUUCGUUAGGUCCGUGGAAAAAUUGAGGGGCUCACCCCCGUCCCGCCCUUGAGACUGGCGUUCUUGAGUGGAAGAGAAGUAGGCGGAAUGCGUGGGGUAGCGGUGAAAUGCAUAGAGAUCACGCAGAACCCAGAUUGCGAAGGCAGCAUGCCGGCUUCCGACUGACGCUGAAGCACGAAAGCGUGGGGAUCGAACAGGAUUAGAUACCCCAGUAGUC
RNAcentral lists this ribosomal RNA (460 nucleotides) under uncultured bacterium. RNAcentral's name for it is "partial 16S ribosomal RNA". It matches the Rfam family "Bacterial small subunit ribosomal RNA", at positions 338 to 795 of the family's 1533-position model. The record is from RNAcentral.